UCCAGACUCCUACGGGAGGCAGCAGUGGGGGAUAUUGCACAAUGGGGGGAACCCUGAUGCAGCGACGCCGCGUGGGUGAAGGAGCGUUUCGGCGCGUAAAGCCCUACCGGCAGGGAAGAAGGAGGACGGUACCUGACUAAGAAGCCCCGGCUAACUACGUGCCAGCAGCCGCGGUAAUACGUAGGGGGCAAGCGUUAUCCGGAUUUACUGGGUGUAAAGGGGGCGCAGACGGCAGCGCAAGCCAGGAGUGAAAGCCCGGGGCCCAACCCCGGGACUGCUCUUGGAACUGCGCGGCUGGAGUGCAGGAGGGGCAGGCGGAAUUCCUGGUGUAGCGGUGAAAUGCGUAGAUAUCAGGAGGAACACCGGUGGCGAAGGCGGCCUGCUGGACUGCGACUGACGUUGAGGCCCGAAAGCGUGGGGAGCAAACAGGAUUAGAUACCCCCGUAA
Molecule: ribosomal RNA, 447 nt
Filed under: uncultured bacterium
Lineage: Bacteria
Description: partial 16S ribosomal RNA
Rfam family: Bacterial small subunit ribosomal RNA
Source: RNAcentral